UCGGCCUGCAACGCGGCGUUGCGACGCUCGCUCUCUUCGCGCGAGAGCGCGACGGAGGUGCGGACACCUUUCGAGACGAAC
This 81-nucleotide transfer RNA is filed under the name Roseivivax sp. THAF197b. Its description in RNAcentral is "tRNA-Ala". Lineage: Bacteria; Pseudomonadati; Pseudomonadota; Alphaproteobacteria; Rhodobacterales; Roseobacteraceae. The record is from RNAcentral.